GGUUCAGGUUGAUCGGUACUCGGGUUAUUCGGUUCGGUUAUAGUAUUUAAAAUUAUUUCCGAAAUUAAACCGAUCGUUUUCUAUUUCGGUUAAUUUAAACCGAAUUACAAAAAAAAAAUUGCAACAAAGCCCAAACUCAUUACAUCAUCAAAAUACAUUAACAAAUUUACAAACCCAAUAAAUAAUUUUACAAGGUCCAACCCAUUAAAAUUAGGGUUUUCGACAAUGGUUGACGGUGACAACGAGACAACGACGGUGACAAAGAGACAACGACGGUGACAAAGAGACAACGACGGCGACGGCGAGGCAACCACGGCGAGGGUGAUGUCAAAUCUUUAUGUCCGAUGAAGCUUGUUAUUUGCCAACCGCAAGAAAAUCUGCCACCAACAAGAUCUAUUAGAUAUCAUCAUCAUAACCACAUAAAAGUAAAAAAAAUUGAAAAUUCAACGAAGGUUGGUCAGAUCUAAAGAGUAACCAGUGAAUCCAGCCGUGAGUUUGGUGAUGAGGAAGAGCUUAGCGAGAAAACAACAAAUAAUCAAACUAAGAAGCGAUUAAGGGAAGAAAAAAAGAGCUUAUCCCUAAAAAAUUGUGGUUACGGGUGUAGAAAGAGGAAGAGCUAACAACAAUUGAUGAAGAAAAAGAAACGUGGUGCUGAUUAUGGCUUAGGUUGGAGAAGAAGAUGAACUCGGCUUUAGAUAGAGGCAGAGGCGCAGAAGAAAAUGAAACCAAAUUAGGGUAAAUGACUCAGUAUCCUUAUAUAUGGCUGCAAAUUCUCGGUUUAAGUAAAACCGAUCGGUUCCGAUUACCGGACCGACCCGAACCGAAAUCCGAUUACCCAAAUUAAUUUCGCCGAUCGGUUAGGAAGAAGCUGUUUGGUUUACGCCGAUAACCGAAAAUGUCGGUUUGAUCGGGUCGGUUUGAUCGGUUUUCACCGAACUCCCAGCGCUAGAAUUCAUCAAUGUCGUCCACCGCUUCCGUUUCCGCUUCCGCCGCAACGGACGGCCAACCACCGUGGAAGAAGAAGCAGACGCAGUCGAAAGAGCAAACCUCAAAUCCUUCACUUCCAAAUGAUUUAGUAGUAACCUGCUUAGCUCGCGUCUCGAGAUCGUAUCACCCAAAUCUCUCCUUAGUCUCCAAAAACUUCCGCUCAAUCAUUGCUUCACCGGAGCUUUACCAAACCCGAACCCUCUUAGGACUCACUGAGAAUUUUCUCUACGUGUGCUUACUCUUCCCUCAUGAAGCUAACCCUCGCUGGUUCAUUCUCAAACCUAAUCAAACCCUAACCAAUCACACCACUAAGAAGACGAAGAAGAAGAAGAAGAAGAAGAAGAAGGUUUCAAGAAGUGGCAAUCGUUUAGCUUCAAUCACAAUUCUCAAUUCUCCGACAGUGGAAUGGUCAGGUCUUGUAGCUGUUGGUUCUAAUCUCUACGCCAUUAGCAAAGACAUUGAAGAAGCUCCUCACUAUAACAUUUGUUUUUUUGAUUGUCGAACUCAUACUUGGCUUGAAGCUCCAAGAAUGUCAUUAUCUCACCCGGAUGGUGAGUUUGAAAGGAAGAUGUAUUUACCAUGAAGUUCUGAGAAUCCAGAUUCUUUGAACUGUGUUGAAGUUUACAACACAAAGACUCAGACUUGGAAACCUGUACCACCCGAAACAUUGAGAUACGAAUUUGAUAUUGUACAAGGAAAGAUUUACAUGAGCUUGGAUGCAGUGUUUGGUGUAGCUUUUAAGCCAAAGGAUUUGAAAUGGGAAUUGGUAGGAUUGGAUAUAGAUUCGGAUCAGUGUCCUGUUUGUAUGAUAGAGAACAUAACCUAUUGUUAUAACUUAUAACAAUGAGUUUUUAUGGAAAAAGUUUAGUAUUGCGGGAUCGGUUUGGAAAAGAGUAGCGGGUUUAGAAGGGCUACCGAAGUUUGCUAGUUAUUGUACUGUUAGAUUGGCGGAUUACGGUGGUAAGUUGGUGGUUUUUUGGGACAAGUAUGUGCCUGCUAGUGGGUAUAAGAAGAAGAUGAUUUGGUGUGCAGAGAUUUCGCUUGAAAUGCGCAGUGGUGAAGAGAUUUCGGGGAAGGUCGAGUGGUUUGAUGCGGUGCUUACAGUUCCUAAGUCUUAUAAAUUCGUGAGUGCUAUCGCUGCUACUCUUUGAUUUAUGACCCAUGACAUAGGUUUGAACGUAAUGAAUCAGGUUAUCUAGGUUUCUUUUUUUUAAGCAUGUCACUUUUUGAGGAAUGUCUUGUGUUUUUAGCAAAAUGCAAUUGACGUUUUUUCCGCUUGUAAAAGAUCUGCACUCGCUUUGCUAGCUUAUUUUGUGACUCUCUCUUUGAUAAGCCUUUUGAAGCCAAAUCCUAUCUGCUACUGUUUGAUGAAUGACUCUUGAGACAAGCGGGUAAUGUCGUUUGUGUUCUGAAUGUAUGCGUUGCAAAAUGGCUAUAUAUGUGACUGUGAUGAAUGCUUCUCUCA
Molecule: long non-coding RNA, 2452 nt
Filed under: Arabidopsis lyrata
Lineage: Eukaryota; Viridiplantae; Streptophyta; Magnoliopsida; Brassicales; Brassicaceae
Description: long non-coding RNA (ALYR_LNC003406)
Source: RNAcentral